RNAcentral lists this ribosomal RNA (779 nucleotides) under uncultured Neocallimastigales. RNAcentral's name for it is "partial large subunit ribosomal RNA". It matches the Rfam family "Eukaryotic large subunit ribosomal RNA", at positions 19 to 646 of the family's 3401-position model. The record is from RNAcentral. Lineage: Eukaryota; Fungi; Neocallimastigomycota; Neocallimastigomycetes; Neocallimastigales.
UCGAGCACGCGCGUGUGGCAUAUCAAUAAGCGGAGGAAAAGAAACUAACAAGGAUUCUCUUAGUAACGGCGAGUGAAGCGGGAAGAGCUCAAAUUUGAAAUCUUCAAGGUUCUACCUUGACGAAUUGUAGUUUAUAGAAGUGUUUUCUGUUAGUAGAGUUGGCUAAAAGUUCUUUGGAAUAGGACAUCAUAGAGGGUGAGAAUCCCGUAUUUGAUCAUUCUUUCUAACUUUGUGAUACACUUUCAACGAGUCGGAUUGUUUGGGAAUGCAGUCCAAAAUGGGUGGUAAAUUUCAUCUAAAGCUAAAUAUUGGCGAGAGACCGAUAGCGAACAAGUACCGUGAGGGAAGGAUGAAAAGAACUUUGAAAAGAGAGUUAAACAGUACGUGAAAUUGUCAAAAGGGAAGCGUUUGACACCAGUGUUGUUUUUCCGAAAAUCAAUUACGAAUGUUUUAUUUUUGAGAGAGUUAUGACUUCAUCGGCUUGCUUCUUUCUUUACGAAACUUUCUUAAUGCACUUUUCGGUUAACAAGUCAACAUCAAUUUCUUUUGUUGUAAAAGGGUACGAGGAAGGUGGCUUUCUUUUCGGAGAAAGUGUUUAUAGCCUUGUAGCCUCUGCAAUCGGAGAGAUUGAGGUCUGCAGCGUAGAUCCUUCGGGGUUAGAUACAUUUGUGCUAAGUUAUAGCUUUUCAUAGACAACUUGUUGACUAUGUUAAGUCUUGUAGCUUACUCGCUUAUGCUAUUUUACCUACGCUUAGGAUGUUGAUGUGAUACUGCGAGCA